Molecule: unclassified non-coding RNA, 123 nt
Filed under: uncultured Ascomycota
Lineage: Eukaryota; Fungi; Ascomycota
Description: sequence contains ITS1
Source: RNAcentral
CAAAACCCGGCGCCCUUUGGCGUCCGACCUCAACUUCCUGUGUGAGCACAAGCUUGCUUUGGCGCCUUUGAGGCGCCAGCUUUAUGCAGAUUUGCCUUUGAAUCUGAAGCCAAAUCAAAUUUA